AGGCCCAAGAAGUAUUGGGGAGAGGUGAUUAGGCAGGACAUGGCUAGGAUGCAGGUUUCCGAGGACAUGACCCUUGAUAGGAAAGUAUGGAGGUCUACAAUCAGGGUUGUAGGAUAGGGGCCCCUAGAGUUUUCCGUUCGCCCAUCCCCGGGAUGGGGGUGGAUCAGCAGAGUUACUCAUAGAUGAGUUGUGUCUAUUGUACGUUACUAUUACUUGCUAUUGCAUGUUGGUAUUUUGUUUCCUUUGUUCGGUUUAUUAUUAACGCUAUUUGUACUGGAAUUUCUAAUGCACUAAUGCUAUGCUGUUUCUGAUUUGUUUUUGUCUCUGUUUGUUUUACUGCAGUUUUUCACCUAACCAUAUGAGCCGAGGGUCGAUAGGAAACAGCCUCCCUGCCCUUCCGGGUAGGGGCAAGGCUCGUAUACAUAUUACCCUCCCCAGACCCCACCUGGUAGGAAUGUACUGGGUAGUUGUUGUUGUUGUUGUGGCUUAUGUGCAACUAUAACAAGUCACAUGAAACAUUUUAUUAUAUAACAUUAAACUGUGGUUUAUAUCAACUAUAAUUCACUUAUUCAUUUCGAUGAAUCAAGAACAAAAGAAUGCACUCCAUCAAAUCCUUUUUGGAGUUUUCAAGACAGCCCAAUUUCUAUUCAAUACAUGACUGCACAAGGAAAUGAGCAUUUGUUCGUUCUUACCUUUUUUCUCCUCGUUGGACUAAGUAUGAAAUCAUCUUCGUCAUUGUUAUCAGUUUAAAUCGUGUUUUUGAUUUUACAUCGCCAUUCUUUGAUUCUUGCUGCAGCACUUUGGAACUCUCAGGUUUGCUCGAGAUUAGUGGUGGCGGAUACUUGACAGGAGUCCCUGUGUGAAUUUAGUUUUGCUUCCUCUGCUUGUUUUCUCUUGUAGCUUCUUUUCUCUCUCAGGUGACAAAAGACCGUGUUCCAUCAACCUGCAGGUAUAUGCCUCAGUCCACAAAUUUCAACAUUCUUGUAGAUUCAAUUAUUAAUUGUUGGAUCACUCCCAAUAUAUGAGUCAGGGAAAGAUGUAUAGAGGGGUAAAGUUUACGGGGAACCCAAAAGUGAAAAAGAACAUGACUAAGAGUUAAUAUAUAGCUGAAAUCAAGCAAGACAUAUAUAGAUCAAGCAUUAACAUGAUCUAUUUAUCAAAAAUAAAAAUAAAAUUUAAUCAGAAGCAAAGAUCAUAAAAUUCCUCGUCUGUGAGCUAAUAUUGUAUUCUAAAACUUCAUUAUCUGGUUCAUGAUAAACUCAUUCACUGAAUGAGGUUACUUUUCAGAAAAGUCAAGUUCACUAAACAGUGACUAAAAUAAGAAGCGAGACUAUGUAAUACAAUCCCACUAAAGCUGUUUCAUUACACCUCAUCCAUAUGGUUUCUGUAUAAUAGUUUGAUCAAGCAUUCGAGAACUAACCUUCAUAUCUUUGACAUCUGACAAAAUUUAUAUUACAGUUUUCUGAGACCAAAAUCAGAUGUAUGCAUAUUACACAGAUAUUGACAUCAUUAUAAUUACAGCAAAAGCAGAACGCUCAAACUUUAUCAAGAAAGACAUAUGUUUAUUGUGAUCUGAUUAUAAUUUCUUACCAGCACUGCAUUUUCAUAUUUAAGUUUUUUAUGUUUUUUAGUUUUAUGUUUUCUUGUUGUAGAUGUUUGACAAUGUUCAAGUGCCAAUUCUGGUGGAAAGCAGGAUAGAUGACUCCCAUUGGCAUCUGUGAAUAUCUGGAGACCAAUGUGAAAGAUAACAAGGUCACUGCAUUGAAAAUUUCAGUGGGAUGUAAGUUCACAUAAAGUGAGGGAGAAGAAAUAUCAGUAGCAAAGAGUGAGAUCGAGUGUUAGCUGAGUGUAACUGCGACCUAGGCUACUCAUUUUCUAAUACUUAAAUGCCAUGUAUUGAUGGACUUGCAUAUCUGCCAUUUUACACUUUACUAGCUCAUAUUAUUUGCCAGGGAUGAGUUAGAGUACCAGCUGAGCGUAACCAUCACAUUCUUAUCCAAAAUGACCAAGACUAUUCUUUUCAUCUUAAAUAUCUGCCAUUCACAACUUACCAGCUGAACUUAUCCAACUGGCAGCCACCCGACAGUUUGCUAGAUCCAGGAAUACCUUAAUUAUAGGCAAAAUGCAAGGCAGCAAGACUCUGAAGUAAGAACUCUGAGAAUCAGUAAAGAUGUGCAUCCAAGUAGCAGUAUUUUACACGAGAUUGCAGCUAUUUCCUAUUGUUUUCGCCAGAAAGUCAAAAACAUUGGGAAAAUACCUCCAUUCCAAUUAAGAGGGCAGUUGCACUGAAAUAGUUUGCAACCAAAACAAGAAACUAAAUUGGUGACUAGGUUGAGAAAUAUAUGCAAUCAGAAUCUAGAAGCAAUGUUUAGGAAUAUAUGGGAAAAUACAACUCAAAAGGUGCUCAAUGGGCAUUUGAAAGGAGAAGUGGUUUUGGGGCUAGUAUAGCAAUCCAAUUUCUAGAAUAUAGAGGUUCCAGUAGCCAACAGAAAGCAGAUCUAAGCAAAAGAGCUGAUGAUGAAAUUAGCAUGUGGUUGGAAUAUGGAACUACGGCAGUAAGAAGCUGAUGUAAAUAAUUCACAAUGAGCUCUCUAUUGUUCGCCUUUAGCCACAUGUUUUCAAAUGUUAACAUGAAUGAUUCCUGAGCUUUUCUGACCCUGCUGAAGUCCAAGAGAAUAAGAACAUGAUCUGAUGGAAAUAUGACAGGGGAUUUGGAUGAUAUCUGGGGCUACCUCUCCAUGUGGUUGAAAUGUGAAAUAUGUUCAAGUCUGAAUUUGGACGUUGACUCCUUCAUCCUGGUCCACAUGAAAUGAGCACCUGUCAUCAACUAGCUAAAAGCUAUCAAUAAACUCUGACCACUUCAAUGCUCUAGAGGGUCAAAUUCCAUCCUUUCUUCCAAAUAACUCAUCAUAUUAAAAUUUCCUCCUGACAUCUAAGAACUCUUCAUUCCCAAAACAAACAUGAAAGUUGAUCCCAGAACUCCCUUUGGGACCCCUCACCCGUUGACCUGCACACAUAACUCUAUGUUAUAUUGCUAUCCGUACUCUUGAAUGAAAAGUGUUAGAAUAUGUAAAUAGUAGAACCCUAAUCCAAUGUGUAUUAGGAGUAGAAUAUAUUAUGUGUAUAUAUAUAUAUAUAGGGCUCAUUGUACUAUAUUUAAUAUCAAUUAUAUAAUUUUCUCCUGUGCUUUCUCACA
Molecule: long non-coding RNA, 3196 nt
Filed under: Nicotiana benthamiana
Lineage: Eukaryota; Viridiplantae; Streptophyta; Magnoliopsida; Solanales; Solanaceae
Description: long non-coding RNA (NBEN_LNC007057)
Source: RNAcentral